UUGUUUCUUUUUUCUCAAAAAUUUCUUAAAUCUUCGGGUAAUGAGUGCCAACUCUUCAUCUUGCUCUUCAUUUUCGGUGUCAUCAGUUUCUUCAUCUGGUGGAGCUGUGGAUUUGAGGGCAAUUAUUUUCUUCUUUUUGACUUCUUUUUCUUGAUGUUGCUUCAUGCUCAGCUCAUGAGUCAUCAAUGAUCCAAGAAGCUCUUCCAAAGGUAGAAUGUUCAAGUCCUUGGCUUCUUGGAUGGUGGUCACUUUGGCUUCCCAAGUUCUUGGUAAGGAUCUGAGAAUCUUUCUUACAAGCU
Molecule: long non-coding RNA, 299 nt
Filed under: Elaeis guineensis (African oil palm)
Lineage: Eukaryota; Viridiplantae; Streptophyta; Magnoliopsida; Arecales; Arecaceae
Description: long non-coding RNA (EGUI_LNC045368)
Source: RNAcentral